CCUACGGGUGGCAGCAGUGGGGAAUAUUGCACAAUGGGGGAAACCCUGAUGCAGCGACGCCGCGUGAGUGAAGAAGUAUUUCGGUAUGUAAAGCUCUGUCAGCAGGGAAGAAAAUGACGGUACCUGACCAAGAAGCCCCGGCUAACUACGUGCCAGCAGCCGCGGUAAUACGUAGGGGGCCAGCGUUAUCCGGAUUUACUGGGUGUAAAGGGGGCGUAGACGGCAGGGCAAGUCUGGAGUGAAAGGGGGGGGCUCAACCCCCGGACUGCUCUGGAAACUGCCAGGCUGGAGUGCAGGAGAGGUAAGUGGAAUUCCUAGUGUAGCGGUGAAAUGCGGAGAGAUUAGGAGGAACACCAGUGGCGAAGGCGGCUUACUGGACUGUAACUGACGUCGAGGCUCGAAAGCGUGGGGAGCAAACAGGAUUAGAUACCCCGGUAGUC
This 440-nucleotide ribosomal RNA is filed under the name uncultured bacterium. Its description in RNAcentral is "partial 16S ribosomal RNA". It matches the Rfam family "Bacterial small subunit ribosomal RNA", at positions 338 to 795 of the family's 1533-position model. The record is from RNAcentral.